This 258-nucleotide ribosomal RNA is filed under the name uncultured Glomus. Its description in RNAcentral is "partial 18S ribosomal RNA". It matches the Rfam family "Eukaryotic small subunit ribosomal RNA", at positions 624 to 886 of the family's 1831-position model. The record is from RNAcentral. Lineage: Eukaryota; Fungi; Glomeromycota; Glomeromycetes; Glomerales; Glomeraceae.
AAGCUCGUAGUUGAAUUUCGGGGUCAGUAGGUUGGUCGUGCCACCGGUACGUACUGGUCUCACUGAUUCCUCCUUCCUGAUGAGCUGUAAUGCCAUUAAUUUGGUGUUGCAGGGAAUCUGGACUGUUACUUUGAGAAAAUUAGAGUGUUUAAAGCAGGCUAACGCUUGAAUACAUUAGCAUGGAAUAAUGAAAUAGGACGUUCGAUCCUAUUUUGUUGGUUUCUAGGAUUGACGUAAUGAUUAAUAGGGAUAGUUGGG